CACGUAGGGCGCGAGCGUUGUCCGGAAUUAUUGGGCGUAAAGAGCUCGUAGGCGGCUUGUCGCGUCGGAUGUGAAAGCCCGGGGCUUAACUCCGGGUCUGCAUUCGAUACGGGCAGGCUAGAGUUCGGUAGGGGAGAUCGGAAUUCCUGGUGUAGCGGUGAAAUGCGUAGAUAUCAAGUGGAACACCAGUGGCGAAGGCGAGUCUCUGGACAUUUCCUGACGCUGAGGCACGAAAGCCAGGGGAGCAAACGGG
Molecule: ribosomal RNA, 253 nt
Filed under: uncultured bacterium
Lineage: Bacteria
Description: partial 16S ribosomal RNA
Rfam family: Bacterial small subunit ribosomal RNA
Source: RNAcentral